GGGGAGAAACAGGGGACUCCGGGGGAGAGGGAGAACCAGGAUGGGGAUGGUGAACCAGAGGAUGAGGGGAAACAGGGGACCCGGGGGAGGGGGGGAAUCGGGAUGGGGAGAGGCAACCAGAGGAUGGGGGUAGACAGGGGACGGGGAGGGGGGAACCAGGAUGGAGAGGGACAACGGGGGGAUGGGGGAAACGGGGGACCGGGGGGAAGAGAGGGGAACCGGGAUGGGUAGGGACGGCCGGGGAAUGGGUGGGAACCCGGGGACGGGAGGGUUGAACCAGGAUGGGGGGAACCAGGUGACCGGUGUGUUGGACCAGGAUGGGGAGGCGGACCAGGAUAGGCGAGGAACCAGGGGACCGGAGGUGGCGGAGGAUUGAAGCGGGAGCAGGGGAAACCAGGGGACCAGGGCGGGUUGGACCACGAUAGGGAGGGCGAAUGAAUCUGGGGCGGAGGAGGAGGAGAAGCGGGUGGCGGGGGUGGGGGGUGGGGGGCGAACCAGGGAACGGUGGUGAGCCGAUCAAGGACGGGGGCGGGUGGCUCCGGCCCAGUCCGGCCCACCGGGCUUCCAAAGGGGAAGGUGCGGCCUCCGCUCUGGGCCUGGCGGCCGGUCGCCUUCUCCACCUUGUCCGUCCUCGCGUGACCGAGGGAGGACUGGCCGCCGGGGGACCGCCCCUGAGCAAAGAGCAGCUGACUGAUCUUCAUAGAACGGACGUGUUUUUGCAAAUAAGGGAGGAGAUGCCCCUGGAAACAUUGAUGUGGUUCAACAGAAAAGCAGUGUGAGCUACUGGAUAGAGCCCAAGACUAGAAGUCAGGAGACUUGGGUUCUAAUCUUGGCUUUGCUACGUCCCUGUUGUGUGACCUCGGGCA
Molecule: long non-coding RNA, 866 nt
Filed under: Ornithorhynchus anatinus (platypus)
Lineage: Eukaryota; Metazoa; Chordata; Mammalia; Monotremata; Ornithorhynchidae
Description: lncRNA (ENSOANG00000048698.1)
Source: RNAcentral